UCCAGAUAUGCAGACCACAUCCUGUCUCUU
This 30-nucleotide non-coding RNA is filed under the name Rattus norvegicus (Norway rat). The record is from RNAcentral. Lineage: Eukaryota; Metazoa; Chordata; Mammalia; Rodentia; Muridae.